RNAcentral lists this transfer RNA (66 nucleotides) under Orestias agassizii. RNAcentral describes it as "tRNA-Cys". Lineage: Eukaryota; Metazoa; Chordata; Actinopteri; Cyprinodontiformes; Cyprinodontidae. RNAcentral also lists the same sequence under 2 other names. The record is from RNAcentral.
AGCUCUGAGGUGUUUUCAUAUUAGAUUGCAAAUCUAAAGAAGCAGACUAAUCCCCUGCCGGGGCUU